This 353-nucleotide ribosomal RNA is filed under the name Phelsuma lineata (striped day gecko). RNAcentral describes it as "partial 12S ribosomal RNA". It matches the Rfam family "Bacterial small subunit ribosomal RNA", at positions 878 to 1394 of the family's 1533-position model. RNAcentral also lists the same sequence under 1 other name. Lineage: Eukaryota; Metazoa; Chordata; Lepidosauria; Squamata; Gekkonidae. The record is from RNAcentral.
GAUUACAAGCGAAAGCAUAAAAUUCAAAGGACUUGACGGUAUUUCACAUCAACCUAGAGGAGCCUGUCCUGUAAUCGAUAAUCCACGUUUUACCUCACCCAUUCUUGCCACGCCAGCCUGUAUACCGCCGUCGCCAGCCCAUCUAAUGAUAGAAUAAAAAUGGACAAAAUUGUACAACCACAAAAACGUCAGGUCAAGGUGCAGCUAAUGAGUGGGCUGAGAUGGGCUACAUUUUUUAAAUUAAAAAAUUACUACAAGCAACAUGAAAUAUUGCGCCUCCAAGGUGGAUUUAGCAGUAAAUUUGUGCAAGAUGUGCCACAUUGAAACCUGUUCUGAAAUGCGUACACACCGCC